This 106-nucleotide non-coding RNA is filed under the name Geomicrobium sp. JCM 19038. Its description in RNAcentral is "TPP riboswitch aptamer (THI element)". It matches the Rfam family "TPP riboswitch aptamer (THI element)". Rfam says of the family: Vitamin B(1) in its active form thiamin pyrophosphate (TPP) is an essential coenzyme that is synthesised by coupling of pyrimidine and thiazole moieties in bacteria. The previously detected thiamin-regulatory element, thi box was extended, resulting in a new, highly conserved RNA secondary structure, the THI element, which is widely distributed in eubacteria and also occurs in some archaea. Lineage: Bacteria; Bacillati; Bacillota; Bacilli; Caryophanales. RNAcentral also lists the same sequence under 1 other name. The record is from Rfam by way of RNAcentral.
AUAGACCACUAGGGGUGCGCGAAAUGGAGCGCUGAGAGACAGCGAAAGCUUAAAACCCUUUGAACCUGAUCCGUACAGCGGCGGAGGAAAGUGGAUGGUAUGCACA